This 500-nucleotide ribosomal RNA is filed under the name uncultured bacterium. RNAcentral's name for it is "partial 16S ribosomal RNA". It matches the Rfam family "Bacterial small subunit ribosomal RNA", at positions 30 to 523 of the family's 1533-position model. The record is from RNAcentral.
AUUGAACGCUGGCGGAAUGCUUUACACAUGCAAGUCGAACGGCAGCACGGACUUCGGUCUGGCGGCGAGUGGCGAACGGGUGAGUAAUGUAUCGGAACGUGCCCAGUCGUGGGGGAUAACGUAGUGAAAAUUACGCUAAUACCGCAUACGAUCUAUGGAUGAAUGCGGGGAACCGCAAGCCCACGGGCAUUUGGAGCGGCCGAUAUCAGAUUAGGUAGUUGGUGGGGUAAAGGCCCACCAAGCCAACGAUCUGUAGCUGGUCUGAGAGGACGACCAGCCACACUGGAACUGAGACACGGCCCAGACUCCUACGGGAGGCAGCAGUGGGGAAUUUUGGACAAUGGGCGAAAGCCUGAUCCAGCCGUUCCGCGUGCAGGAUGAAGGCCCUCGGGUUGUAAACUGCUUUUGUACAGAACGAAAAGGUUUCUACUAAUACUAGGAGCUCAUGACGGUACUGUAAGAAUAAGCACCGGCUAACUACGUGCCAGCCGCCGCAGUAA